AGCAGCCGCGGUAAUUCCAGCUCCAAUAGCGUAUAUUAAAGUUGUUGCAGUUAAAAAGCUCGUAGUUGAAUUUCGGGGUCAAUAAGUUGGUCAUGCCAAUGGUAUGCACUGGCUUUAUUGAUUCCUACCUCUUGACGAACUGUGAUGCCAUUAAUUUGGUGUUGCAGGGAAUCAGGACUGUUACCUUGAAAAAAUUAGAGUGUUUAAAGCAAGCUUACGCUUGAAUACAUUAGCAUGGAAUAAUGAAAUAGGACGUUUGAUCCUAUUUUGUUGGUUUCUAGGAUCGACGUAAUGAUUAAUAGGGAUAGUUGGGGGCAUUAGUAUUCAAUUGUCAGAGGUGAAAUUCUUGGAUUUAUUGAAGACUAACUACUGCGAAAGCAUUUGCCAAGGAUGUUUUCAUUAAUCAAGAACGAAAGUUAGGGGAUCGAAGACGAUCAGAUACCGUCGUAGUCUUAACCAUAAACUAUGCCGACUAGGGAUCGGAUGAUGUUAAUUUUUAAUGACUCAUUC
This 510-nucleotide ribosomal RNA is filed under the name uncultured Glomus. RNAcentral describes it as "SSU rRNA". It matches the Rfam family "Eukaryotic small subunit ribosomal RNA", at positions 569 to 1081 of the family's 1831-position model. The record is from RNAcentral. Lineage: Eukaryota; Fungi; Glomeromycota; Glomeromycetes; Glomerales; Glomeraceae.